CAUUGUAACAUCUGGUUGUUAGGAUCAGUACCUAAUUUUAUCACUGUCGUCCAUAACCUAGAGCCUAGCAUGGUGCUGGGCUCAUAGUUACUUAAGUAAAACGACCUGAUUUUGCUGGAUCUGUUUCUUCUUGCGCAGCUCUUCAUGCAGCUGACAGGGAUCAUAUCAGAUGUCUGAAGGUGGCAGGUUCUGAGAAUCUGUGUCCAGAUGGCUGCUGAAGCUUCUACUUCAAGGUUCAAGGGCAGCAGUUCUCAGGAGACCCCAACACUUCACAUCUUUGGCAGGAUCUUAUUUUUGGCUCAGAGUAUAUUGAUAGACAUACUUCCUUUCAAAGAGGAGCUGGAUACCUGGGUGUUUCCCAAGGAAUUAUGA
This 372-nucleotide long non-coding RNA is filed under the name Vulpes vulpes (red fox). RNAcentral's name for it is "lncRNA (ENSVVUG00000001674.1)". The record is from RNAcentral. Lineage: Eukaryota; Metazoa; Chordata; Mammalia; Carnivora; Canidae.